RNAcentral lists this ribosomal RNA (468 nucleotides) under uncultured bacterium. Its description in RNAcentral is "partial 16S ribosomal RNA". It matches the Rfam family "Bacterial small subunit ribosomal RNA", at positions 28 to 507 of the family's 1533-position model. The record is from RNAcentral.
GAUGAACGCUGGCGGCGUGCCUAAUACAUGCAAGUCGAACGGAAAGGCCCUGCUCUUGUGGGGUGCUCGAGUGGCGAACGGGUGAGUAAAACGUGAGUAUAAUGCCCUUGACUUUGGGAUAAAUUCAGGAGAAUGGGGCUCAUAUCGGGUAUGAGCUACUGAUGCACAGGGGGGGAUGGUAAGAUUCGGCGGUUGGGGCUGGACUAGCGGGUUAUCCGCUUGUUGGUGAGGUAGGGGAUUUCCAAGGGUAUGAAGGGUAGGCGGCCUGAGAGGGUGACCGGCCACAUGGGGACUGAGAUACGGCGCAGACGCCUACGGUACGCAACAGGCGAGAACAUUGCACAAUAGCGCGACGCCUGAUGCGGCAACGCCGCGUGCGUGAUGACGUCUUUCUGGUUGUAAACCGAUUUCUACUUUGACGAAGCGGGAGUGACGGUAAUUAGUAAAGAAGCACCGGCUAACUACGUG